Molecule: ribosomal RNA, 508 nt
Filed under: uncultured bacterium
Lineage: Bacteria
Description: partial 16S ribosomal RNA
Rfam family: Bacterial small subunit ribosomal RNA
Source: RNAcentral
GACGAACGCUGGCGGCGUGCCUAAUACAUGCAAGUCGAACGCUUCUUUCCUCCCGAGUGCUUGCACUCAAUUGGAAAGAGGAGUGGCGGACGGGUGAGUAACACGUGGGUAACCUACCCGUCAGAGGGGGAUAACACUUGGAAACAGGUGCUAAUACCGCAUAACAGUUUAUGCCGCAUGGCAUAAGAGUGAAAGGCGCUUUCGGGUGUCGCUGAUGGAUGGACCCGCGGUGCAUUAGCUAGUUGGUGAGGUAACGGCUCACCAAGGCCACGAUGCAUAGCCGACCUGAGAGGGUGAUCGGCCACACUGGGACUGAGACACGGCCCAGACUCCUACGGGAGGCAGCAGUAGGGAAUCUUCGGCAAUGGACGAAAGUCUGACCGAGCAACGCCGCGUGAGUGAAGAAGGUUUUCGGAUCGUAAAACUCUGUUGUUAGAGAAGAACAAGGACGUUAGUAACUGAACGUCCCCUGGCGGUAUCUAACCAGAAAGCCACGGCUAACUACGUG